RNAcentral lists this ribosomal RNA (358 nucleotides) under uncultured bacterium. Its description in RNAcentral is "partial 16S ribosomal RNA". It matches the Rfam family "Bacterial small subunit ribosomal RNA", at positions 338 to 694 of the family's 1533-position model. The record is from RNAcentral.
CCUACGGGUGGCUGCAGUGAGGAAUAUUGGUCAAUGGGCGGGAGCCUGAACCAGCCAAGCCGCGUGCAGGAAGAAGGCGCCAAGCGUCGUAAACUUCUUUUGUCGGGGGACAAAGGGCGGCACGUGUGGCGUUGUGAGUGUACCCGAAGAAAAAGCAUCGGCUAACUCCGUGCCAGCCGCCGCGGUAAUACGGAGGAUGCGCGAGUUAUAAGGAUUUAUUGGGUUUAAAGGGUGCGUAGGCGGUACGGAAAGUCAGCGGUAAAAGCCCGGGGCUCAACCCCGGCGCGCCGCACCACCUGUCGGACUAGAGACGGCGAGAAGUACGCGGAAUGCGCGGUGUAGCGGUGAAAUGCAUAGA